AAUAAACUAAUGCUGCUAUGUACCUGGCAGGCUGGCACUGGAAUCUUCAUUAGGUCUCUCCAGCUUGGCAAGCCAGGCCCUUCCUCACAACAUACAAAUGACAGGUUGGCUUCAUUUCACUAGCCUACACACACAUAAUCUCACCAACUUCCUUUCCCUCAAAGAGUUAGUGGCAAGAUGACUGAACUGAACCCACCAAAAUUUGGGCUUACUUGGACCCAAAAAAAAAAA
Molecule: unclassified non-coding RNA, 231 nt
Filed under: Hevea brasiliensis (rubber tree)
Lineage: Eukaryota; Viridiplantae; Streptophyta; Magnoliopsida; Malpighiales; Euphorbiaceae
Source: RNAcentral